UUCAAGCAAUUUUUGUACGCACUUUUUUCGCAAACAAAACAAAACGUUUAAUUACAUUUAGGUGCUUUGUAUGCACUGUUGGCUGAUGUAUGCAAGUCCUACGGUAAACGUGCAAAGCACCACGUACAGCUCAUAAAAUUCGGUUGUGCGACUGUGGAAGUGUGUUUUCAUAAAUUAUUGCCUUUAUCAGCAAAUUCCGUAGUUGUCUAUAACUAUUAGCUUGCAAACCUUAAAAUUUCUGUUACCUUGUUACCUGAAAAUAGUUUUUAUCAUGCCUUUUCGUACGAGCGCGUUCGGAGUUUCGGUAUUCGCAUGCAUUGGGAUGUUGUUUCUCGCUUGCAACGUGGAUCUUGGGCGUAAUUUGAUAUUUUUCUUGUGUGAUGCUUGAUUCGACAUAACAAAGAUAUUUGCUAAUUUUCAGGUGGAUGCGAUUUAAUGUUUCCCAACGUCUGUGAGAAUGUGACGUGCCCAAAGGGACAAAACUGCAGUGCCAUAACGGAUUACUGGUGUCCCAAUAAAACCGGCCAGAUCUGCUAUAUAUCCCAUAGCAGUUUGCGGCGACUUCAUAAAUCCAUGCAUUGUAAGGAUGCAGCGGGAUGUUGCUUGGCCAGGCUCAAAAUUAAUAUUAUCAGUUACCUCGUGAACAGGAUUCAGUAUUACCGAUGUCCAGCUAAAAUUUAUAUUAGCAUAAAACAAUUGAAUACUUUAUUAAAUGCACCAAACAAAAAUUCGGAUCGAUGUAUACGAUAUACCCGCAUGUGUACAAUACUUCUAUACGAGUGAGUAUACUGUAAUUAUUUUAAUUGCAGUUCAGUACAUGUCUCACUGGAACUGACUGCGCCGCUGUCGUUGAUACCUGCAGCAAUGGAAUCUGCACCGUAAAAGCCGGAUGCUUCAACAUUACUCGUCCUGGUGCAUGCCCGAAAUCGCCGGACGCCACUUCCUGCUCCAACUUCUGCGAGACAGACGGCUUAUGCGAGACCGGUGCAAAAUGCUGUCAGGUUCCUGAUCUGGGAAAAGUGUGCGUGCCGGCUGUGCAAAAUUACUGAUUUGUUUUAUUUCAUGCUGUUCCGAACAUCUGCUGUACAUUCAAGCAACAAAUACAUUUCCAGCAGUUUUAAUUAUUUUAUGGAUUAUACAUCACCGCUGCAGAGUAAUUGAUAUGUACCAGCGCCUGCUGUGCUAUUCUAAGAAAGGUCACCAAAUGAAGAGCCACUGGAAUCGGUCACUGGUGUUCCAGUUACACAGGUUGAUGUGCACUGAGCGAAUGUGUCGAAACGAUUUCGAUUUCCCAUGCAUCCACC
Long non-coding RNA from Paramacrobiotus metropolitanus, 1304 nucleotides. RefSeq lists it as uncharacterized. The transcript has 4 exons. Lineage: Eukaryota; Metazoa; Tardigrada; Eutardigrada; Parachela; Macrobiotidae. The record is from RefSeq and is a predicted model, not a curated record.